Molecule: long non-coding RNA, 2004 nt
Organism: Rattus rattus (black rat)
Lineage: Eukaryota; Metazoa; Chordata; Mammalia; Rodentia; Muridae
Exons: 3
Source: RefSeq, a predicted model, not a curated record
UUUAUAUCAAAAUGUCUUUCCUUUACAUGUUACUAUAGAAACUUCAUUUACACCAAAUCAAGCAGUUGGUCUGCUUUUUGAGAUUUCUGCUCAGAGAAAAGCUUCCCUUUACUAAUUCUCUGGGCCAGCUAUCACUGAUCACAUCAGCAAUGUCCCAUAGCAACAAUAGUCCUUUUUUCCUUUUAAAAAAUUGUUCUUCCUUCUUUUGCUCAUUUCUUCAUGGACAAAGGGUUUACUUUCCUUUCAAGAAGAUAACUGAGACCUUAUUGGCCAGAAAGGAAAAGCCAGUCUCUCAUUGGUUGGAAUGUAUUGCCUCGCCAACCAAUAAGAGGAUGCCAUUUAUCCUUUCCUGACUAGCUGAGAGAGCAGGGUACCCAGAAUGAUUGAAUCUGCCUUAGUUUUGUCCAGGAGCAAAGGACAGGUUCCGAAUUCUGGAACCCAGAACGAGGGGUUUGCUUUAGCCAGUUGAGAUCGCACUUGGUUUCCAUGAAUCAACUCUUCCGCCUAGCUGUUUGUAGCUCACUUGAGCAUAGCCGCGGGCUACAUUGUUCUGUAUUUUCCCAUUUUCUGAUGCAGCCUAAAUCUAUUUCCAAGCCAGUACGGGUUAUUCUCGGGGAUCAGUACAUCAGGGGGUUCAUGGAUCUGAGAUCUCUAGAGACAGAGACUUGGACUUUUAGUGUGAGGGGUUUGGGAAACUUUGGCGGGGGUGGGAUGGAGAAAUAGAAGAGGGAAGUGUCCCCUCACCUGCAGGGAGCAAGUGUCUCAGUGUUUUGGAUUCACUCCACUCAGCCCUGGUGCACUGGGGAAGUUGCACUUUGAGUCUUGGCAGCUGCCAAGGACAGACGGAGACAACGGCCCUCGCACAGGAGCGGAGCAGACGGAUCACUUCCUAGGAAGGGUAUGGGCAGGGAAAGGUGGGGACAGGGGAGCCCGCUGUCCUCUUCAUCUUGGACACACAUUCCGACGACAGCUUGCAGGAGCCUGAACGCUUUUAUAAUUCGUGAAGAAGAUAUAGAGAAACGAGCUACCCAGCUGCUUCCCGUGAGAAAUAAGAUGUCCCUAUGGUUAAAGGAAGUGUGUUCGGGAAGGGGUAAGAAAAUUAUUUCUCCCCAGUUUUGAGCAGAGGCUCUAGGGAAUUCUUAGGUGUAGGAUCAGGGGCAGGCAGGGUGCCAUGGGAAUAUGGACAAAGCAACAGGAGUGGGCACAAAAGUUGGCCUUCCCUACAGGAGUGUCCAGCUGAUGGCAGGUGGUGUGCCAAGGCCCGGAGGAGGUGGCUAGCAAGACCAUGGACAGACCAGCCCUGUCUGGAAGACUAGUGAUUUUGUUGUUGUGUCUGUGUCCAACAACAAGUCCCAGUCUGCCACAUGGUGUUGGCCACGUCAGCGGCUGCAGGGAGUUGGGCUGGGAGGGGAGCCCCACUUCUGGAUAUAUUUUUCCUGCCUUCUAUGUUUCCUAGCAAACACCUCCAGAAACUACCAGACUCGGCCGAGGAUACCUCAGAGGGACUUCUCCAGAAACAAGGACAUUGGCUCUAGCGUGGGACGGGGGACAGGAUGCCUGUCCUCAGGGAGUGGUGGGUUGCCCUGUACCUGCAGACCCUCAUUCACCCUGCAAGCUCCUCCUUCCUGAGAGACCACCACACGAGACACACAGAGGGCAGAUGACAGUGUGGACCAGCACAGGAGCAUGGACUUCUAACCUUAGGGUUCAGGAGCAAGGGGGUCACAGGAUCCUGGCUGAUCUGGAGUAUCUGUGCCUGCGUGUGGGAAGGAAGGUUAUAGUUACAACUUCCCACUUCCAAGAAACAGAAUUUCAGAAGCCUUGCCCCCAGCCUGUGCUUGGAGGUCACCUUGAUGGCAAAAGUAGUCAAUGCCCCACAAAUGUGCUUUAAGUCCAGCACCUGGAAAAGCAGAGGCAGGUGGGUUUUUGUUAAAUUCAAGGCCAGCCUGGUCUACAUAGCAAACCUUUGUCUCAAAAUGGGAGAAAGAAAGAAAGAGAUAGAAC